UAGGGAAUCUUCGGCAAUGGACGGAAGUCUGACCGAGCAACGCCGCGUGAGUGAAGAAGGUUUUCGGAUCGUAAAGCUCUGUUGUAAGAGAAGAGCGAGUGUGAGAGUGGAAAGUUCACACUGUGACGGUAUCUUACCAGAAAGGGACGGCUAACUACGUGCCAGCAGCCGCGGUAAUACGUAGGUCCCGAGCGUUGUCCGGAUUUAUUGGGCGUAAAGCGAGCGCAGGCGGUUAGAUAAGUCUGAAGUUAAAGGCUGUGGCUUAACCAUAGUACGCUUUGGAAACUGUUUAACUUGAGUGCAAGAGGGGAGAGUGGAAUUCCAUGUGUAGCGGUGAAAUGCGUAGAUAUAUGGAGGAACACCGGUGGCGAAAGCGGCUCUCUGGCUUGUAACUGACGCUGAGGCUCGAAAGCGUGGGGAGCAAACAGGAUUAGAUACCCUGGUAGUCCACGCCGUAAACGAUGAGUGCUAGGUGUUAGACCCUUUCCGGGGUUUAGUGCCGCAGCUAACGCAUUAAGCACUCCGCCUGGGGAGUACGACCGCAAGGUUG
RNAcentral lists this ribosomal RNA (550 nucleotides) under uncultured bacterium. Its description in RNAcentral is "bacterial SSU rRNA". It matches the Rfam family "Bacterial small subunit ribosomal RNA", at positions 355 to 896 of the family's 1533-position model. The record is from RNAcentral.